GGAGGGGUGGUCGAGUGGUUGAUGGCUCUGGUCUUGAAAACCAGCGUGCCGAAAGGCACCGUGGGUUCGAAUCCCACCCCCUCCG
RNAcentral lists this transfer RNA (85 nucleotides) under Synechococcales cyanobacterium SupBloom_Metag_052. RNAcentral's name for it is "tRNA-Ser". It matches the Rfam family "tRNA". Rfam says of the family: Transfer RNA (tRNA) molecules are approximately 80 nucleotides in length. Their secondary structure includes four short double-helical elements and three loops (D, anti-codon, and T loops). Further hydrogen bonds mediate the characteristic L-shaped molecular structure. tRNAs have two regions of fundamental functional importance: the anti-codon, which is responsible for specific mRNA codon recognition, and the 3' end, to which the tRNAs corresponding amino acid is attached (by aminoacyl-tRNA synthetases). tRNAs cope with the degeneracy of the genetic code in two manners: having more than one tRNA (with a specific anti-codon) for a particular amino acid; and 'wobble' base-pairing, i.e. permitting non-standard base-pairing at the 3rd anti-codon position. Lineage: Bacteria; Bacillati; Cyanobacteriota; Cyanophyceae; Synechococcales. The record is from RNAcentral. RNAcentral also lists the same sequence under 2 other names.